RNAcentral lists this ribosomal RNA (206 nucleotides) under uncultured bacterium. RNAcentral describes it as "partial 16S ribosomal RNA". It matches the Rfam family "Bacterial small subunit ribosomal RNA", at positions 568 to 774 of the family's 1533-position model. The record is from RNAcentral.
CACGUAGGCGGAUGGGUAAGUCAGAUGUGAAAUCCCGGGGCUCAACUUCGGAACUGCAUUUGAUACUGCCCGUCUUGAGUGUGGUAGAGGGGGAUGGAAUUCCCGGUGUAGAGGUGAAAUUCGUAGAUAUCGGGAGGAACACCAGAGGCGAAGGCGAUCCCUGGGCCAUUACUGACGCUGAGGUGCGAAAGCGUGGGGAGCAAACA